RNAcentral lists this ribosomal RNA (243 nucleotides) under marine sediment bacterium BB0608_2216_5.1_8S0. Its description in RNAcentral is "partial 16S ribosomal RNA". It matches the Rfam family "Bacterial small subunit ribosomal RNA", at positions 78 to 321 of the family's 1533-position model. The record is from RNAcentral.
GCUUGCUUCUUGGGUGACGAGCGGCGGACGGGUGAGUAACGCGUGGGAAUCUACCUGGUAGUGGGGGACAACAGUCGGAAACGACUGCUAAUACCGCAUACGCCCUUCGGGGGAAAGUGGGGGAUCUUCGGACCUCACGCUAUCAGAUGAGCCCGCGUCGGAUUAGCUUGUUGGUGAGGUAAAGGCUCACCAAGGCGAUGAUCCGUAGCUGGUCUGAGAGGAUGACCAGCCACACUGGGACUG